GUUUUUGAAGCUCGCUGUUUGUUACUCCUGUGCAAUGUUUUUCGGGAAGGUGAUGGUUGAUGGAUGGAUGUGUGAAUUGAGUUGUGUUAUCUCUUGAUUAAUUUUGGAUAACAAGUAGUUAAAAAACAUUUGAUUACUAUGUAGUUUUGUCCAAUGUGUCAUAAUAAACUUUGAUAAAUGUAUGGCCUGUAUAAUGUUACAUGUCGGUUUCCCCCACUUUUGGAAAAACUUGAAUAACAGUGGAAGUGGACAUUUUAUUUCAUAGAUGGGUUGCUAAAACUCCGUCAAUAGUGAACUGCCUGUGACAGUGUACUAUUUUAUGUGAAACAAUGGAUGACUUCCCAGUUUAUAAUCAACAAGACGUCUGUGACCUAAACGACGAGAAAACGUCAAUUACAGGUGGAAAGUCUGUCUCAGAAAUAGUUCAGCUUCUGAGAACAAAGGCAAAGCUAAAAAUCUCCAAGGGGCUUGAAGAUAGUGAAGAUGUGGAUGAUCAACCAAGUAAAUCAAAUCAAGUUUUUCCUUGGAUGAACAAGUUCACCGCACUGUGUAAAGAAGUUAUCCUGGAACCAAACAUUAAAAAGCUUGAUGAACUCAUCACUCAAUUUUUGAAGUAUAUUGGAGAAGACGUCAAACAAUGCUACAACAAACCAAAACGUGCGUACAAGCUCAGGACAAGAAUGAACGUGUUCAUGGUGUUUUUCCACAUGAUGUAUUGGGAGAUCAAAAGACCACUGGAACACACCUCAUAUUUGGACAAGAUGAGUGAUCUCUUGGCACACUAUAUUGAUGUGGAGAUGAAAUCAUCAAGAAGAGGUAGAGAGCAUCCAAAGAAGAUUUCUGAGCGUAUCUGCACAUCACUUUAUUUGUUUUUGGACAAAUCUCCAGAUCACAUUUUGGAUACCGUUUUGAAGGCAAAGUUCUUUGUCAAGAAGUACAGUGACAUCUGCGUUCCUGUCAUGGCGAGACUACUAAAUGAUAAUCCUGGCCAAGUGUACGAAACUACCUAUGUUAGGUAUUUGCUGUCAUUUAAAUUGUGGAAGAAACUGGCAGGGAAGGAACACUAUGUCAACAUCAACAAGGAGGCAGUGGCCAAACUGAAGCCUCCUCCGGACUUUGCAGAGAAAUUGAAAAGUGGAUUAUUUUCCAAUGUCCUUCCUUAUGUCUCCAAAUCUGAGAAAGACAGAAUUACUCUUUUCUUCAUGCAGUCACCGUUCAAUGUUAAAAAGAAGGCACAGUUAUUCCUGAAAGAUGGAAGAAAAGUGCAACCUACUGGUGAUUUAGAGAAAGCAUUUUUGUUUGAAGAAGACUUCAACUUAAAUAAUUUGUUUAUUGACGACUCACAAGACGAUGAAAACAAUCCUGACUUAAUGAAUGAAAUCUGGGGUUCAAUCAUGGAAAGUGAUCCCGAAUCUGUUUGCUUAGAUGAUCUUUUUAGUAUGGAAAACUCCAAUGAAGAUGACAAAAUUAUAAUUGAUCUGGAAAACACCAAAUCCAAAGAGAAAACAAGAAAAGUUUCCAAAGAGAAAACUAAUGGUGUCUUGAAAGGACCAACAAAAAAACGCAAAUCAGUAAAAUUUAGUUCAUGUGUUUCGGUCAAAAAUGUUUUGAACAAAGAAUCAUCCGAACUAAUCAGGACAGACAAGCCUAAAUCCUUAAUUCCUGUUACAUCCAAAGAGGAUAGUUCUUUUUCAACUCUUUUGAAAUUAGAAGAAAGUUUGAAAAAAGAAGAUAAACCUAGUUUGUCAUCAUCUCAGUGUUCAGAUCCACAGAAACCUCAAAAACCUUGUGCAACAGUCGAGCCAGAACAGUGUAAGGAACUAGAACCGGACAGUCGAAGCAAAAAUACAAAUGUAAUACAUGUCAAAAGUCCUCAAAAAAUCUCUUUUAAUUCUUUAGAAACUGUUAACAGAGCAAAAGAUGACCAACUUAAAUCAAAUUCUGAGAAUUCUGUUAGGUCUCUGAUUUUAAAUACAGACCACAAUAUUAGUUCAGUUGCUAGUUCUGAAGUUGAAGUUGUUCCCUCUGAAGUAGCUGACUCUUCUGGAAUAUGCGAAGAAAUCAAAGUUGAGACAAAUCCUGAGGAAAUGUUUGUUGUAAGUGAUCUGUAUAAAGAUAUUAAAGGAGAUGAAGUGCCCAUUGAGGAAGACCAAUUGGUAGCACAAGAAGUAGUCAUAAGGACUGAAAUGAGCCAAGAAGAUAUGUGUCCUAGAUUUGUUGUCAUGGAUGAGAACGGACAAAGCAAGCUGGAUGAACAUGAUAUUAUGAAUGUAAUAAGUAUAUCUAAAGAUCCAGCUAUGUUUGGCUCUGAUUCUGUAAUAAUUAAUUCAAGUGCUUGGAAAAGAAGUCAAGAUAAACAAGAAGUUCAGACUGAAAUUGUUUCCUUGCUUGAAAAUCAAAAUUCCGUUAGUGGCACAAUUCAACCUAAAGGAAAUAGCACAAAAGAGCAAUCUUCAGUUUCACCUGAAAAUCACCAGUUUUUAUCUUCUAUAGUUGCAUCAUCGGAAAGUAAUGAUAAUUAUGUUUCUUUUGAUAGACGACAUGAUAGUUAUAUUUACAAUGACUAUUUUCUUACAAGGCUAUUUUCAGAAGUGAAUGGUGAUGAUGGAUCAGAUGAUGACAACAGAUGUAACAAUCGCAGCAGAUAUGCAGGGGGAGGGAAAAUUCCAGCUUUCAGAGAACAGAGUGAGGAAAGUAAAUCUGAUGGAGGAGAAGAAUUUGAAUCUCCUUCUCCAGCAAGCCGCAGUGACUCUCAGAGGAGUACAGUGGAAGCUUCACCGGAAAUGAACAAUACACAACCCACUAACACAGAUCUAAUGUCUCAGGAGUAUGAUGUAGCUGAUAAAUCUCCUGCUUUGGUUCUGACCCAACCCAUAAUGGUGUCUGAACAAAAAUCUCCAUCCCCACCUCUUCGAGAAGUUUGUGUUAGUUUACCAUACAUUUCUGGAUCAGAAAAUCUCAACGAUUAUGUAACAGAUAAAGAGAAGAUUUGUCCUAAAGGUAUGUGUGAACCACCUAACAAUAUGUUGCAUAUUAAGACUGUAGAUGAUGACUCCAAAUUUAAUUUUUUACAACAACAACUUUAUGCUUUAUACUCUACCACACAAAAUAUCCUUGAUACAGAUCCUGUUCCUUAUCCUCCCACUGUCAUUGUUUCACCACCCAUUAAUGGCUCUUCUAGGUGCCCUUGUUCAUAUUGCAAGUUACAUUUUAUAGCUCUAGAGACGAACUUCAGAACACUGUUUGCUAUGCGUAGUAAUAGGAUGUGUCUAGAAAUAGAUAAAAACCGUAUUUUGUCCAAAAUGUUUGUGAAUGUAGAUGAAAACAAAAUGGAAAAUGAUAACCUUUUGAAAUUAAUAGAAGAAACAAUUCCGGAAAGUGAACAAAUCAUACCUGACCCUACAAAAACAGGAAUAGAAGAAGAUACAUUAGUAUCUGAACCAGCAUUGGACAAAACAUUAACAAAUGUUGAAAACGAAUUACCAGUUCAAGAAGAAAAUGGAUCUAAGACUUUAGCUGAUCAAAAAACAUCUCAAAUGGAGUCAAGAAGUGAAUAUUCCAACCUACCACCAAAGAAAAGAAAGGCGUUUGUAACGGAGAUUGAAACAGGGGAAUGUCAGAUCACACAGACAAAAAAAGCUAAAACUGAUGAUGAAAUUGGAAAAAAGACUACUUCGGAAGACAUUGUUACUGAGAUGACUUUAAUGGCCAAUGAAACUGAAUGUUUAGAUUCAAAGGAAGAGCCGAGAAAACCUGUACACAUAAAAGAGUGCAGUCUUGUACUUAAGAAAUGUCCAUCUGUAUAUGACAAAUUUUCACCUGUCAAGAUGGUUAAAUCUGUGAAUGGAGUUUAUCGUGUUCUUCCAGACAACUCAGUGGAUUUUUCAAACUCCAGUCCUCAGCACGAAGACAUUCCAGAAACUCAUAGAAAAUCUAGACAUGAGAAAUGUCAUAAACAUAAAAGAUCUAAAGAAGAAAGGAGACUUCGAAAAGAACGAAAGCGUUUAAAAAAAUUAAGGAAGCAAGAGUCAAGUGACUACUGAUCACAAAGUAUUACAGUCAGUAAGAUUGAACUAACAAUAUUGCAUUAACUGCUCAUUCCUAUAAAUUUUAAGUUUUGCACUAUCUUAAGAGUUAGUCUUUUUUAAACAGAAAUGAGACUGAGUAAUUAACUACAAAUUAGAAAUAAUGAAUUUCAAUUCUUGUGUACAUAUACAGAUUUUGUUAUACUUAAUACGUAAGUGUUGCCAAAUCCUCAAAAUCUUUAAUUAUUUUUACUGUCCAGAAAGCACUAAUAAUAUUAUUUGAAAACUGAGUGCCUUCUGUCCUAUUGUAGUUUUAAAAUUUUCACAGAGAAACUGGAAAUUUAGCAAAACAGGACUAUGUAAAUAUGUUAUGUUGAACGACACCAAAAAGAGAUGUGAAUUAUAACUAAUUUUGUCAACAAAGUUACCUACUAUCAGUUCAGUGAUUCAAGACCUGAAGUAAAGUGAGUACUUCCUUCAGUUGGGAAAUAAGCUGACAACCUACAUACGGAGAACUCUUUCCAGUUUUUGCUAAACUAAAACUAUCAUCUUCACAAUGUCUUAUCAUCUUGCAGGAGUCUGCAUUCAGCUCUGUACUUUCAAUUUUAAUUUUUGAAAACAAAACCAAUAAAAAUAAUUUUGUUUUAGUUAUCUGAUUAAUAUGGUUAUGUUUGAAGAUUUAAUUUUAUACUUCUAAUCAUUCACCAUUCAAUUAAAAUAAUUACAAUUGAAAAGCCUUAACCUCUGAAGAGUUUUAAAAAUUAACUUUUUAUAUUUUUUCCAAUUUAUUUGUCAGUGUUGUGUAAAGAUGUUUUAUGUAAUAUUGCUCAAGCUCUUUUUGAUUAUCAUGUGAACAAUUAUUUUUAAAUUGAAUUAUUUCACCGGAUUCAAGACUAUUCACCAGGGACUGGACUAAUCAUCAUCAAUUGAAGAACUUAACUGGACAUCUCGACAAAAUUUAACUGAAUUUAAUUAUUUAAAUAACAAGGCUGAUCAACAGUUACAUGAAUUGCAUUACAUUACAUUAAUGCAUUACAUGCAUUAUUUAAUAUAGAAAAAGUCAAAUUUCUGAUAAAAGAGAAAAAUGUUACAAAGAAUACAAUGGACAAUUUAAUAAUCUUUACAACUUACAAAUGUAUAUUCGAGUUCUCAUUUUUAUCAAUGGACUGUUGGUAUGUUCUUUCACAAAUUUAUGAAGCCUUUUUCCUUCAAUCAUAAUGAUAGUAGUCAAAGAAAUAUUGUCUUUUUUUUAUAAAAGUUUAAGCUAUAUAAAAGUAAAAUAAAUAAUUAGAAGAUUUUUCAAUACAAAUGACUUUAUGAUUUAUGAAUUUUAAUGUAAAUCUCACAGAAGGAAACACCAAACUCUUUUGUUUUUCCUAUAAGUUUGGUUGUCACCAUGUUUUUAAAAUAUAUUGUGGUCAUCAACAACAGAUAACUUGAAAAACUCUUAAUGCUUGUUUUUUACUUAUUGUAAAUACUGAUUACAAAAUAUAUAUUUGAGUAAAAUCUGGAUUUAAUGGAAACACCAAGGUUGAUUCAUGGAAGAUGAUGUAUUGUCUUGAAGAACACAUAACAAAUGGAACAGAACAGUGUGACCUGCAUCAUCAAUAUCUAACUGUCUUAAAAUAAUGGAUAAAGAGAUUCCUUCUGUGAUAAAAUGGCCUUAAUUAUAUAAAAUGUAUCUAAACAAAAUUGCUCAAUUUUAUUAUCUUUGUGGAUGUUUUUUCUAUUAAUUUGAUACUAAUGAAUAUAGAUUGUAUUUUUGUAAUUUGAUUUCAAAAUUUAUAAUUAUGUUCACAAGUCACAUAUUAAAGGAAAAUACUAAGGACACAAACACAGGUAUUCAAAACCUAAGACAUGAGAUUAAUCAUCCAUGUAAAAAUAAACGAAUCAUCAUAAAACAGAGAUGAGGACACUUAAGUCUUACUUGUCAACAGAAAAGUUGUACAUAAAAAUCAAAGAUGUGUGUUAAACUUGUCACCAGAGUCAGAAGGUAAACUGCAUCUACAGACGAUACACACACUACAGCAGAUGAGUCGAGACUAGGACGAACAUUCAUUAAGGCACUUCCUCUGUCAAGACAACCUGGUUAAUGAGUGCCCGAUCUGUCCACCCCAUUAGUCAGGUCUUGUCUUAACUGCUGUGCUAAACAAAGCACUAGUCGACAACCAUCUAGUCAUCAUAAGCGAAAAAGAGCAGAGAAAAUAGUGGAAGAACAAGAACCUUCAGAGUCCGAUGAUGAUGAUGUACCUUUAUUUUGCUUGGAAGAACAAGCUGAAGAAAUUGAGAAUAAAUCUUCUAAAGAAAAAUCUAGGAGGAUAUACAACAAGACCAGAUCUGCCUCUUCAUCAAG
Homalodisca vitripennis (glassy-winged sharpshooter) is the source of this 6378-nucleotide RNA transcript. RefSeq lists it as uncharacterized. The record is from RefSeq and is a predicted model, not a curated record. The transcript is spliced from 11 exons. Lineage: Eukaryota; Metazoa; Arthropoda; Insecta; Hemiptera; Cicadellidae.